RNAcentral lists this non-coding RNA (28 nucleotides) under Cricetulus griseus (Chinese hamster). The record is from RNAcentral. Lineage: Eukaryota; Metazoa; Chordata; Mammalia; Rodentia; Cricetidae.
GCAUUGUCGAGAUCCAGAAUGGCAUUUG